GGAGGAGCGGCCUGGCUUUGUCUGAGUCAGGCAGCCCAGCGUGUGGGAUGCCAGGCUGGAUGUGCUGGGCCUGACCAGCCGCCCGCUUUCCUCUUCUCUUGCCUCUGCCUGCCCCCUGGUGGACAGCUGGGGUAAAGCAUGGGAGUGCGCCUUUGGGGUCUCAGUGGGGCUGAAAUACGACUCCUCCCCUAGGACAGCCUGCCUUCCCCAGCCUUGUUCUCCGGCAAAGUCAAUUUCCUGGAGAAUCGAGGCUCUGCCUCAGAUGUUCGGAGCCUCCGCAGGAUGAACACCUCCAUUUCAAUUCCAGGGGCUUUGAUCAACCUGUGCCUCCCUUGAUCCCCAACUUGUGGGCACCUUCCCUUGAGCAGUGCCCCCACGAGGUACACCUUUCCCGGGAAACAAAAAUCAUUCCUUCUUUGGGUCCUGCAAGCUGUAAAGAACCAAUACAGCACUGUGCUACUGAACAUGUUGCCACUAUAGAAGCCCCUUGUGUUUUGAAGAGUACAUCUCUAUAGCCAUUCGUUUAUUCAUCAGAAACCAGCUAGAAGCCAGGCCCUGUGCUGGGCGCUGGAGACAUGGAAGAAACUGGGCUGAGGCUCCCGCCUUGAAGAGCUUGUGGCCCAGGGAAGGGACAGUUCAUCUGUCAUUGAUUGCCACGUGACAGUGUCUAUGAUGCUAAAAAGAUGCCAGUGCUGUGCUGCAGGAGCAAAGGCCGUGGAGGAAGAGGCUUUGGCUUUGUUGCGAGUCCUUGCCAGAGCCAGGCAAAGCCAGUCACCGCUUUGUUCAGAUGACUCAGGUAAAUAAAUGAGGCCGCACAGGCUGUCCUGACACCACACACCUCUAGAAUACCCUGGCUGUGCUGGGAGCUAUUGGUGUCAGCUGAGUAUUUUCAUCCCUGUCCAAGUCACAAUGAUCUGACUGUACCAGCCUGUGUGGAUGUUGCUAAGAGGAGGCAGACAGCACCAUGAGCUCCCUUAGAUGACGAUCGGCAUGAUGUUCCUGCUGUGGCAGCGCUCAGCUCUUGCCAAUGCUCUUCUCUGCUUUGCUCACUUUAAGCCUCCCUUAAUUUUUUUGAAGCCCAGUUUCCACAUUGCUGAUUCACAGAUAUGCAAGACUCAGGCAGGAAAAAAAAAAGACUUCUUAGAGGACUUGGAAAGAAAAUGAAAUGACGUUGAACGAAAUCAAAGUAAAUUGAGUGAUCUGAAACGAUUUGAUGUCAGCAAGAAUUCCCCAUACAGCUCACAGCCCUACCCCGAGCACGCCUCCCUCUUGGGUAUGCUCUCUGCAGGCCCAAACCUUGCAGAAGCCAUUCCAUGUUUCCUGAGCAGGAAAAGACAAACUCAGACCGACAACCUUGGACUUCAAAAGACUGCACACAAGGGGAGGAAGGACUGAGAGUACCAAGGCGUGAGAAUUCAGAAUGCUGCUAUCUCAUUUAUUUUUACCAUUUAGGAAACGUUUUGAUCUGCAUUCCUUUUCCCUUCCCUGAUUUCAAAAAAUAAAAAUAAAAAUGCUUCGGU
This 1520-nucleotide long non-coding RNA is filed under the name Homo sapiens (human). RNAcentral describes it as "long intergenic non-protein coding RNA 2029". Lineage: Eukaryota; Metazoa; Chordata; Mammalia; Primates; Hominidae. The record is from RNAcentral.